RNAcentral lists this ribosomal RNA (301 nucleotides) under uncultured bacterium. RNAcentral's name for it is "partial 16S ribosomal RNA". It matches the Rfam family "Bacterial small subunit ribosomal RNA", at positions 509 to 807 of the family's 1533-position model. The record is from RNAcentral.
CAGUCGCCGCGGGAACACGAAGGGGGCCAGCGUUGUUCGGAUUUACUGGGCGUAAAGGGCGCGUAGGCGGACUGAUAAGUCAGGGGUGAAAUCCCAAGGCUCAACCUUGGAACUGCCUUUGAUACUGUUUGUCUUGAGUUCGAGAGAGGUAAGUGGAACUGCGAGUGUAGAGGUGAAAUUCGUAGAUAUUCGCAAGAACACCAGUGGCGAAGGCGGCUUACUGGCUCGAAACUGACGCUGAGGCGCGAAAGCGUGGGGAGCAAACAGGAUUAGAUACCCCUGUAGUCCCUGUCUCUUAUAC